This 743-nucleotide ribosomal RNA is filed under the name uncultured bacterium. RNAcentral's name for it is "bacterial SSU rRNA". It matches the Rfam family "Bacterial small subunit ribosomal RNA", at positions 94 to 823 of the family's 1533-position model. The record is from RNAcentral.
AGCGGCGGAUGGGUGAGUAACACGUGGGGAACCUGCCCCUAAGUCUGGGAUACCAUUUGGAAACAGGUGCUAAUACCGGAUAAUAAAGCAGAUCGCAUGAUCAGCUUUUGAAAGGCGGCGUAAGCUGUCGCUAAGGGAUGGCCCCGCGGUGCCUUAGCUAGUUGGUAAGGUAACGGCUUACCAAGGCGACGAUGCAUAGCCGAGUUGAGAGACUGAUCGGCCACAUUGGGACUGAGACACGGCCCAAACUCCUACGGGAGGCAGCAGUAGGGAAUCUUCCACAAUGGACGCAAGUCUGAUGGAGCAACGCCGCGUGAGUGAAGAAGGUUUUCGGAUCGUAAAGCUCUGUUGUUGGUGAAGAAGGAUAGAGGUAGUAACUGGCCUUUAUUUGACGGUAAUCAACCAGAAAGUCACGGCUAACUACGUGCCAGCAGCCGCGGUAAUACGUAGGUGGCAAGCGUUGUCCGGAUUUAUUGGGCGUAAAGCGAGCGCAGGCGGAAAAAUAAGUCCAAUGUGAAAGCCCUCGGCUUAACCGAGGAACUGCAUCGGAAACUGUUUUUCUUGAGUGCAGAAGAGGAGAGUGGAACUCCAUGUGUAGCGGUGGAAUGCGUAGAUAUAUGGAAGAACACCAGUGGCGAAGGCGGCUCUCUGGUCUGCAACUGACGCUGAGGCUCGAAAGCAUGGGUAGCGAACAGGAUUAGAUACCCUGGUAGUCCAUGCCGUAAACGAUGAGUGCUAAGUGU